AUAAAAUGGCUGUUGUUUGUUUACAAAUUAACCCGUCUAUUAUUAAAGAUACAACUAUUAAAAAGCAGCUGGUUCUCGAAGGUGAUCCAGGAUCCAGUACUUAUACAAUUUGGACAAUAAAAUGAAUUUAAUAAGGAAGCUCAUCAAUUAAAAGUUAAAUUCUGUGAUCAUUUUGCAUGGAAUUCCUACUUUAUUGUGUAUUCUCAAGGAAAAUUAGAAACCAACUUCAUUCAUCCGAAUGCACAAUUUUUAGGGCUGUAAUUUCUUUCUUUAAAGAAUUGAGUUUUGGAAGUCUUUCUGCAUGGACCUGUGUUUUUGGGUUGCCCAAGAGACUAUUAAUACAAUUAAAUAUGAGAAUGUUGGUAUAUUUACCCCAAUGUUAUAUGUUAAGGGGCUACAACUUCUUUAUUUUAACUGGAAUUCUAAAUAUGCCUUCAGAAUUGUGAUCUAGAAACUUUUAUAUAUGGAAUUGUGUUUUUGGGUUGCA
This 487-nucleotide long non-coding RNA is filed under the name Agrilus planipennis (emerald ash borer). RNAcentral's name for it is "uncharacterized LOC108737662, transcript variant X1". Lineage: Eukaryota; Metazoa; Arthropoda; Insecta; Coleoptera; Buprestidae. The record is from RNAcentral.